GAUUAACGCUGGCGGCGUGCAUAACACAUGCAAGUCGAACGAUGAAACUUAACUGAUUUCUUCGGAAUGAUUUUAAGUGGAUUAGUGGCGGACGGGUGAGUAACGCGUGAGUAACCUGCCUUGGAGAAGGGGAUAGCCUUUGGAAACGAAGAAUAAUACCCUAUGAUAUGAUAAUAUCUCAUGAUAUUAUCAUCAAAGAUUUAUCGCUCUAAGAUGGACUUGCGUCUGAUUAGUUAGUUGGUGAGGUAACAGCUCACCAAGGCAGCGAUCAGUAGCCGGUGUGAGAGGGUGUACGCCCAAAUUGGGACUGAGACACGCCCCAGGCCCCUGCGGGAGGAGGGGGGGGGAAUUUUGCCACAGUGGGGGAAACCUUAAUCCAGCGACGCGGGGUAUUUGAAAAGCCUUUCGGUUUUUAAAAUUUUUUUGUAGGGAAAAAAAAUACCAAACCCAAACAAAUAAGACCCGCCUAAUUCCGUG
Molecule: ribosomal RNA, 477 nt
Filed under: uncultured bacterium
Lineage: Bacteria
Description: partial 16S ribosomal RNA
Rfam family: Bacterial small subunit ribosomal RNA
Source: RNAcentral